RNAcentral lists this ribosomal RNA (590 nucleotides) under Trichoderma harzianum. Its description in RNAcentral is "eukaryotic LSU rRNA". The stretch from base 218 to 371 matches the Rfam family "5.8S ribosomal RNA". The record is from RNAcentral. Lineage: Eukaryota; Fungi; Ascomycota; Sordariomycetes; Hypocreales; Hypocreaceae.
UGCGGAGGGAUCAUUACCGAGUUUACAACUCCCAAACCCAAUGUGAACGUUACCAAACUGUUGCCUCGGCGGGAUCUCUGCCCCGGGUGCGUCGCAGCCCCGGACCAAGGCGCCCGCCGGAGGACCAACCAAAACUCUUUUUGUAUACCCCCUCGCGGGUUUUUUUAUAAUCUGAGCCUUCUCGGCGCCUCUCGUAGGCGUUUCGAAAAUGAAUCAAAACUUUCAACAACGGAUCUCUUGGUUCUGGCAUCGAUGAAGAACGCAGCGAAAUGCGAUAAGUAAUGUGAAUUGCAGAAUUCAGUGAAUCAUCGAAUCUUUGAACGCACAUUGCGCCCGCCAGUAUUCUGGCGGGCAUGCCUGUCCGAGCGUCAUUUCAACCCUCGAACCCCUCCGGGGGGUCGGCGUUGGGGAUCGGCCCUCCCUUAGCGGGUGGCCGUCUCCGAAAUACAGUGGCGGUCUCGCCGCAGCCUCUCCUGCGCAGUAGUUUGCACACUCGCAUCGGGAGCGCGGCGCGUCCACAGCCGUUAAACACCCAACUUCUGAAAUGUUGACCUCGGAUCAGGUAGGAAUACCCGCUGAACUUAAGCAUA